UACGUAGGGUGCAAGCGUUGUCCGGAAUUAUUGGGCGUAAAGAGCUCGUAGGCGGUCUGUUGCGUCGGCUGUGAAAACCCGGGGCUCAACCCCGGGCCUGCAGCCGAUACGGGCAGACUAGAGUUCGGCAGGGGAGACUGGAAUUCCUGGUGUAGCGGUGAAAUGCGCAGAUAUCAGGAGGAACACCGGUGGCGAAGGCAGUUCUCUGGGCCGUAACUGACGCUGAGGAGCGAAAGCGUGGGGAGCGAACAGG
Molecule: ribosomal RNA, 253 nt
Filed under: uncultured bacterium
Lineage: Bacteria
Description: partial 16S ribosomal RNA
Rfam family: Bacterial small subunit ribosomal RNA
Source: RNAcentral